CCUACGGGAGGCAGCAGUGGGGAAUUUUGGACAAUGGGGGAAACCCUGAUCCAGCAAUGCCGCGUGUGUGAAGAAGGCCUUCGGGUUGUAAAGCACUUUUGUCAGGAACGAAACGGUGGGGGCUAAUACCUCCUGCUAAUGACGGUACCUGAAGAAUAAGCACCGGCUAACUACGUGCCAGCAGCCGCGGUAAUACGUAGGGUGCAAGCGUUAAUCGGAAUUACUGGGCGUAAAGCGUGCGCAGGCGGUUGUGCAAGACAGAUGUGAAAUCCCCGGGCUUAACCUGGGAAUGGCAUUUGUGACUGCACGGCUAGAGUGUGUCAGAGGGGGGUAGAAUUCCACGUGUAGCAGUGAAAUGCGUAGAUAUGUGGAGGAAUACCGAUGGCGAAGGCAGCCCCCUGGGAUAACACUGACGCUCAUGCACGAAAGCGUGGGGAGCAAACAGGAUUAGAUACCCUGGUAGUCCACGCCCUAAACGAUGUCAACUAGUUGUCGGGUCUUAAUUGACUUGGUAACGCAGCUAACGCGUGAAGUUGACCGCCUGGGGAGUACGGUCGCAAGAUUAAAACUCAAAUGAAUUGACGG
Molecule: ribosomal RNA, 585 nt
Filed under: uncultured eubacterium ONG1
Lineage: Bacteria
Description: bacterial SSU rRNA
Rfam family: Bacterial small subunit ribosomal RNA
Source: RNAcentral